AGCAGCCGCGGUAAUUCCAGCUCCAAUAGCGUAUAUUAAAGUUGUUGCAGUUAGAAAGCUCGUAGUUGAAUUUCGGGGUUAGUAGGUUGGUCAUGCCUCUGGUAUGUACUGGUCUCACUGAUUCCUCCUUCCUGAUGAACCGUAAUGCCAUUAAUUUGGUGUUGCGGGGAAUUUGGACUGUUACUUUGAAAAAAUUAGAGUGUUUAAAGCAAGCUAACGCUUGAAUACAUUAGCAUGGAAUAAUGAAAUAGGACGUUCGAUCUUAUUUUGUUGGUUUCUAGGAUUGACGUAAUGAUUAAUAGGGAUAGUUGGGGGCAUUAGUAUUCAACUGUCAGAGGUGAAAUUCUUGGAUUUAUUGAAGACUAACUACUGCGAAAGCAUUUGCCAAGGAUGUUUUCAUUAAUCAAGAACGAAGUUAGGGGAUCG
This 426-nucleotide ribosomal RNA is filed under the name uncultured Glomus. Its description in RNAcentral is "SSU rRNA". It matches the Rfam family "Eukaryotic small subunit ribosomal RNA", at positions 569 to 1000 of the family's 1831-position model. The record is from RNAcentral. Lineage: Eukaryota; Fungi; Glomeromycota; Glomeromycetes; Glomerales; Glomeraceae.